CGCGAAUAGCUCAUUACAACAGCUAUAAUUUACUUGAUCUUGACACAAUCCUACUUGGAUAACUGUGGUAAUUCUAGAGCUAAUACAUGCAUUAAAGCUCUGACCUCACGGGAAGAGUGCAUUUAUUAGAACAAAACCAAGCGGCUUCGGCUGUUUCUGGUUGACUCAUAGUAACUGAGCUGAUCGCAUGGUCUUGCACCGGCGACGUGUCUUUCAAGUAUCUGCCGUAUCAACUUUCGAUGGUAGUGUAUCUGACUACCAUGGUGAUCACGCGUAACGGAGAAUAAGGGUUCGGCUCCGGAGAGUUCGCCUGAGAAAUCGCGAACACAUCUAAGGAAGGCAGCAGGCGCGAAAAUUACCCACUCUCAGCACGAGGAGGUAGUGACGAAAAAUAACGAGACCGUUCUCUUAUGAGGCCGGUCAUCGGAAUGGGUACAAUUUAAACCCUUUAACGAGUAUCUAUGAGAGGGCAAGUCUGGUGCCAGCAGCCGCGGUAAUUCCAGCU
RNAcentral lists this ribosomal RNA (505 nucleotides) under Cervidellus vexilliger. RNAcentral describes it as "SSU rRNA". It matches the Rfam family "Eukaryotic small subunit ribosomal RNA", at positions 88 to 590 of the family's 1831-position model. The record is from RNAcentral. Lineage: Eukaryota; Metazoa; Nematoda; Chromadorea; Rhabditida; Cephalobidae.